Molecule: ribosomal RNA, 440 nt
Filed under: uncultured bacterium
Lineage: Bacteria
Description: bacterial SSU rRNA
Rfam family: Bacterial small subunit ribosomal RNA
Source: RNAcentral
CCUACGGGUGGCAGCAGCUAAGAAUCUUGCGCAAUGGGCGAAAGCCUGACGCAGCAAUUCCGCGUGGGGGACGAAGGCCCUAGGGUCGUAAACCCCUUUUACGAGGGAAGAAGUUCUGACGGUACCUCGUGAAUAAGCCACGGCUAACUACGUGCCAGCAGCCGCGGUAAUACGUAGGUGGCAAGCGUUGUCCGGAUUUAUUGGGCGUAAAGCGCCCGCAGGCGGCUCAGCAAGUUUCAGGUGAAAUCUCCUGGCUCAACUGGGAGGGGUCUUGGAAAACUGCUGGGCUUGAGGCAGGGAGAGGGAUGCGGAAUACCAGGUGUAGUGGUGAAAUGCGUAGAUAUCUGGUGGAACACCAGUGGCGAAGGCGGCAUCCUGGCCCUGUCCUGACGCUCAGGGGCGAAAGCGUGGGGAGCAAACCGGAUUAGAUACCCUUGUAG